RNAcentral lists this transfer RNA (70 nucleotides) under Oceanibaculum indicum P24. Its description in RNAcentral is "tRNA-Leu". Lineage: Bacteria; Pseudomonadati; Pseudomonadota; Alphaproteobacteria; Rhodospirillales; Oceanibaculaceae. The record is from RNAcentral.
UGUGGGGGACGUCGGUUUAGCCUAUCUCAUAACCUGAAGGUCGCAGGUUCAAAUCCUGCCCCCGCAACCA